RNAcentral lists this ribosomal RNA (1941 nucleotides) under Vibrio cholerae. RNAcentral describes it as "partial 23S ribosomal RNA". It matches the Rfam family "Bacterial large subunit ribosomal RNA", at positions 155 to 2135 of the family's 2925-position model. Lineage: Bacteria; Pseudomonadati; Pseudomonadota; Gammaproteobacteria; Vibrionales; Vibrionaceae. The record is from RNAcentral.
UAACUGAAUACAUAGGUUAACAGAGCAAACCGGGGGAACUGAAACAUCUAAGUACCCCGAGGAGAAGAAAUCAACCGAGAUUCCGGUAGUAGCGGCGAGCGAACCUGGAUUAGCCCUUAAGCACUCGGUGAAGUAGGUGAACAAGCUGGAAAGCUUGGCGAUACAGGGUGAUAGCCCCGUAACCGACGCUUCAUCGAGCGUGAAAUCGAGUAGGGCGGGACACGUGAUAUCCUGUCUGAAUAUGGGGGGACCAUCCUCCAAGGCUAAAUACUCCUGACUGACCGAUAGUGAACCAGUACCGUGAGGGAAAGGCGAAAAGAACCCCUGUGAGGGGAGUGAAAUAGAACCUGAAACCGUGUACGUACAAGCAGUAGGAGCACCUUCGUGGUGUGACUGCGUACCUUUUGUAUAAUGGGUCAGCGACUUAUAUUCAGUGGCAAGGUUAACCGUAUAGGGGAGCCGUAGCGAAAGCGAGUCUUAACUGGGCGCUCAGUCUCUGGAUAUAGACCCGAAACCGGGUGAUCUAGCCAUGGGCAGGUUGAAGGUUGAGUAACAUCAACUGGAGGACCGAACCGACUAAUGUUGAAAAAUUAGCGGAUGACUUGUGGCUAGGGGUGAAAGGCCAAUCAAACUCGGAGAUAGCUGGUUCUCCCCGAAAGCUAUUUAGGUAGCGCCUCGGACGAAUACUACUGGGGGUAGAGCACUGUUAAGGCUAGGGGGUCAUCCCGACUUACCAACCCUUUGCAAACUCCGAAUACCAGUAAGUACUAUCCGGGAGACACACGGCGGGUGCUAACGUCCGUCGUGGAGAGGGAAACAACCCAGACCGCCAGCUAAGGUCCCAAAGUAUUGCUAAGUGGGAAACGAUGUGGGAAGGCUCAGACAGCUAGGAUGUUGGCUUAGAAGCAGCCAUCAUUUAAAGAAAGCGUAAUAGCUCACUAGUCGAGUCGGCCUGCGCGGAAGAUGUAACGGGGCUAAGCAAUACACCGAAGCUGCGGCAAUGUCUUUUAGACAUUGGGUAGGGGAGCGUUCUGUAAGCCGUUGAAGGUGAAUCGUAAGGUUUGCUGGAGGUAUCAGAAGUGCGAAUGCUGACAUGAGUAACGACAAAGGGGGUGAAAAACCUCCUCGCCGGAAGACCAAGGGUUCCUGUCCAACGUUAAUCGGGGCAGGGUGAGUCGACCCCUAAGGUGAGGCCGAAAGGCGUAAUCGAUGGGAAACGGGUUAAUAUUCCCGUACUUCUGACUAUUGCGAUGGGGGGACGGAGAAGGCUAGGUGGGCCAGGCGACGGUUGUCCUGGUUCAAGUGCGUAGGCUUGAGAGUUAGGUAAAUCCGGCUCUCUCUAAGGCUGAGACACGACGUCGAGCUGCUACGGCAGUGAAGUCAUUGAUGCCAUGCUUCCAGGAAAAGCCUCUAAGCUUCAGAUAGUCAGGAAUCGUACCCCAAACCGACACAGGUGGUCGGGUAGAGAAUACCAAGGCGCUUGAGAGAACUCGGGUGAAGGAACUAGGCAAAAUGGUACCGUAACUUCGGGAGAAGGUACGCUCUUGAUGGUGAAGUCCCUCGCGGAUGGAGCUGACGAGAGUCGCAGAUACCAGGUGGCUGCAACUGUUUAUUAAAAACACAGCACUGUGCAAAAUCGCAAGAUGACGUAUACGGUGUGACGCCUGCCCGGUGCCGGAAGGUUAAUUGAUGGGGUUAGCGUAAGCGAAGCUCUUGAUCGAAGCCCCGGUAAACGGCGGCCGUAACUAUAACGGUCCUAAGGUAGCGAAAUUCCUUGUCGGGUAAGUUCCGACCUGCACGAAUGGCGUAAUGAUGGCCACGCUGUCUCCACCCGAGACUCAGUGAAAUUGAAAUCGCUGUGAAGAUGCAGUGUACCCGCGGCUAGACGGAAAGACCCCGUGAACCUUUACUACAGCUUGGCACUGAACAUUGAACCUACAU